UACGGAGGAUCCAAGCGUUAUCCGGAUUUAUUGGGUUUAAAGGGUCCGUAGGCGGUCUAAUAAGUCAGUGGUGAAAGCCCAUCGCUUAACGAUGGAACGGCCAUUGAUACUGUUAGACUUGAAUUAUUGGGAAGUAACUAGAAUAUGUAGUGUAGCGGUGAAAUGCUUAGAUAUUACAUGGAAUACCAAUUGCGAAGGCAGGUUACUAUCAAUAUAUUGACGCUGAUGGACGAAAGCGUGGGGAGCGAACAGG
RNAcentral lists this ribosomal RNA (253 nucleotides) under uncultured bacterium. Its description in RNAcentral is "partial 16S ribosomal RNA". It matches the Rfam family "Bacterial small subunit ribosomal RNA", at positions 524 to 776 of the family's 1533-position model. The record is from RNAcentral.